Long non-coding RNA from Xyrauchen texanus (razorback sucker), 677 nucleotides. RefSeq lists it as uncharacterized. The transcript is spliced from 3 exons. Lineage: Eukaryota; Metazoa; Chordata; Actinopteri; Cypriniformes; Catostomidae. The record is from RefSeq and is a predicted model, not a curated record.
GUUCCGGUCACGGAACUCGGAAAAUAACUCGGAGCUCUGACUUCAAAGACAAAUGGAAUGCACGAUUACAUCUACUUUUGUGUUCUAUGGGGAAAGAAUGUCAUAUGGAUUUUGGUACAACAUGAUGUGCAUCACCGGAGUUGAAGAAAUGAAGUGAUGGUCUGAGGGCCGUGUCAGCGGUUCGAGGAAAUCUGGGCCACACGAGGUCAGAUGGACUGUGCUGAAGAUUACAUUUGUGCCACGCAUACUGUCCGCGAAGAGAUCAGCAACGUGGACAACCGGAGUAAAUUAGUUUGUACACCACUAAACUGGCAUCAAAUAAAGGUAUUUGUGCAGAAUCCAUAUGGGAAAUUAAGUCUUCCUUCCUAAAUGUGAAACAUUGAUGUGUCAAACAAGAACACUAAAAUGGACUGGAAUGGAAAAUGAGUGGCUGGUGAUUUCAUUGCUCAGAUAGGUCUGUCUGAUGCUUUUACCACUACAUCAAAUGACACUUGACUCCACAACCCAAUGACAGAAAAAUCUAAAUAAAUCAUAGAGGGAAAGAGCAAGAAGCUAACACAUUUAUUGAAUUGCAUUUUAAAUGCCAAAAUGAAUCUUCAAGAAAAAAAAGAAAUAAAAAACAGCCUAAAAGCAAAGACCGACUGACAGAACAUUGUUUUGCUCACUAAGUCAUUGCU